Molecule: ribosomal RNA, 440 nt
Filed under: uncultured bacterium
Lineage: Bacteria
Description: partial 16S ribosomal RNA
Rfam family: Bacterial small subunit ribosomal RNA
Source: RNAcentral
CCUACGGGCGGCAGCAGUAGGGAAUCUUUCACAAUGGGCGAAAGCCUGAUGGAGCAACGCCGCGUGCAGGAUGAAGGCCUUCGGGUUGUAAACUGCUUUUAUAAGCGAGAAAUAUGAUGGUACCUUAGGAAUAAGCCUCGGCUAACUACGUGCCAGCAGCCGCGGUAAUACGUAGGAGGCAAGCGUUAUCCGGAAUGACUGGGCGUAAAGGGUGCGUAGGUGGUUUGACAAGUUAGUAGCGCAACUCCGGAGCUCAACUUCGGAACUACUACUAAAACUGUUGGACUUGAGUGCAGGAGGGGCAAUCGGAAUUCCUAGUGUAGCGGUGGAAUGCGUAGAUAUUAGGAGGAACACCAGUGGCGAAGGCGGAUUGCUAGACUGUAACUGACACUGAGGCACGAAAGCGUGGGGAGCAAACAGGAUUAGAUACCCCGGUAGUC